This 168-nucleotide unclassified non-coding RNA is filed under the name soil metagenome. Its description in RNAcentral is "partial internal transcribed spacer 1". The record is from RNAcentral.
CGAAAGCGUUUUUAACAGCGCAAAACCCACUGUGAACAUACCUGUUUGUUGCUUCGGCAGGCGGCCCCAGGGCGGGGCCAGCAGCCUGUAUUUUUUUCAGGCGCCUGCCGGAGGCCACUUCAAACUCUUUUGUAUACGUACUGUCUGAGCCUAAAACAAGAUACGUUA